GUCUUGUUAAUGUUCUGUGUGUAUUAAUCUCUCUCUCUGUAACAGAUAAUAAAAACCACUCUAAUAGUGACCAGUCCAGACACUAUGCUGUUUCUGCGGUCUGCUCUGUGGGUGGAGUCCUGGCUGUGAUUGGGGCAGUGGCUUAUCUGAAGAGGCACAGAGACAAGCAGAGAGAAGGCAGUGCGAUAUACCAGAACUGGGCUCAGGUGAACACAAGGGCUCCAAGCUGCUGACUGUGUACGACGAGAUUCGGCCGAGGAACAGUGCCCCCUGCUAGCAGAGAGUGUUACUGCCUCCUUUGUGCUGACGAGGAGUUCGAGCUCUGUCUCUGCGCCCCUGGCAGUGCGAGUGCGGAGACUGUGCCUGGGACAGAGCAGAAGAGCCUCUGCAGAUCAGCUGACCCGGCAGAGUUGACCUCCUCACAUGGAGCAACAGUGACCCCUUGUGGUUGAACUGGGUAUCUGCAGGACUGGAGAAUCCGAGACGCCGGUCGACAUCUGUCUUCAUUCCACCUGUUAUUUACAAUUAUAUUCAAGCAUUUCAUAAAAGCAGAAUAAUUUAAAAUACAUCUGAUGCUACUAUUGACAAUCUGUAUGAAUUAUUUUUAGAAUUCUGGCAGAUCAAUAAAUAGAUCUGGCAGUUUUCAUAUUCUCAUCCUGAGUCUGAGACUUGUGUGAUUACAUUGCUAAGCAUAUUAAUGAAUGAAUGAAGUAGAAGACUAGCUAAGUGCAGGAUUCACUAAACAGUGAGUCCAGAUUUUCAAUGAUUUACAGUCCUGACUGAAGCACUGGGCUUCUCAAAGACUGAACUGGCCCAGGAUUUUGAAUGUUUGAAUCAGGUCUCCUCAGCACUCUGUUCAGCACUAAAGAGACUAAGCUCCUUCAGCCUGUCAGCAUGGGACACUCCCUUCAGACUAAAUAGAAGGGAGUGUCCUGAAAGGAGUUCCUUCACUCCUUUCAGACCAAAGAAUGAAAAAUACUGUGACUCAAAUCGUGUAGCUGGGAUGUUUAUCUCUGGCAGAGAAUAACUGUCUACAUCUCUGCUGUCUAGACCUGUAUUGCAUUUGCCUGUAAAAUAAACUAAUUUAUUAACUGAC
Lepisosteus oculatus (spotted gar) is the source of this 1096-nucleotide non-coding RNA. The record is from RefSeq and is a predicted model, not a curated record. NCBI's taxonomy places the organism in Eukaryota, Metazoa, Chordata, Actinopteri, Semionotiformes, Lepisosteidae.